CUACGGUGGGCGGGCCGUGGUGUUCGGGAAGUCGAUGGGAAGUCGACGCGGCCCUCGCCACUGUGAUCGGGGAGUUCCCGUUCCGUCCGGCUCGCGCCGGGCCACUGGUCGCAGGACCGGGAAGGCAGGAACGGCGGGCGUGUGCACCCGUCAGCCAGGAGACCGGCCACGGCACGUCACGAAGU
RNAcentral lists this non-coding RNA (185 nucleotides) under Streptomyces sp. Lineage: Bacteria; Bacillati; Actinomycetota; Actinomycetes; Kitasatosporales; Streptomycetaceae. RNAcentral also lists the same sequence under 1 other name. The record is from RNAcentral.